UCAAACUUGAUUUCAAAGUGGGCAAUGGAACCAAUUGUAGUGGGUCCAACCAGCAUUAAAAAAAAUAAAAACAAGAAAGAAUAGAAACUAUCAGAGUACAUAACAAGUAGUAAAGGAAGUCACCAUCCUCAGUGGGGACCUUUCUCAGACAAUCUAUUCUUCCACCGUUCUUGAGCAACCAAGAUAUUAAAAAGGAAGACUUGAAGUUUCUAUGCUGCUUGACCCAGAAGUUUCUCAUUAUGGAUGUGGGGUUCUUACUUUUGAAGCCAUGUCAUCUCUGCACAGCCGGUCCCUUUUCCCUUCUGCCAUGAGUGGAAGCAGCCUGAAGUCCUCACCAGAAGAUGUCAGUGCAUGCUUCCUGUACAGUCUGCAGAACUGUGAGAUAAAUAAACCUCUUUUUUAAAAAAAUAAAUUACCCACCCUUGGGCAUUCUUUUAUAGUAACAAAAAAGGACUUAGAUACUAUGUGAGAAUGAAUCAUUCACAAUGCAAUUGUCAGACAAGUGAGAUUAACAUUUCAAUUCUCAAGUUAUCCGAUUGUUCUACGUUUUCCAGGCUUUGUCAUGACUUGUUCACUCCCAGGGCUGCUUAGAUCUCCACUGACCAAUACUCAUGGAGAAUUGAGUAAUCAGUUUAUAAAAUCUAUAACAACGAUAAAAAUACUGAAUUCAUUGUUUUUGCCCAUUGAUCUUUGUCAAAUAUUUUAAUCACAAUAAAAAUUUUAAAUUUAUGAAAGGAAGACCAAAGUUCAUUUUGAGGAAGACAUCUCUCAUUUCGGCUUUUGAGCAUUCGUUCUCAGGAAACAGAACAUAUUUUAGAAGAGAAACAUCCUAACACAUCUGGUGUGAUCUUCUAGUUAUCUAGUUUAAGCCAAAAAAGGUGGCAUCAUCUGUUUUUCUGUCAUACAUUUUGAAACAUGAGUUUCUGAAAGCUAUUUCCUAACAUAUGUCAAUUUAACAUCUGCUGGUUUCUAACUGAUAGCUAGAAACAGCGCACUGGCAGCCCUUCCAAUAGUGCCGAGGUAUUUCCCAUUAGAAUUGUUUUCACUUCGGAGUUGUCAGUCAUAUUUUUACUCUAGGGUAGCCUAUUUUCCUAACUUGAAGGAGAUACAUGAAUGGAAGCACAGAGAAGGAGGAAUAAACAGAAUGAUAUAUUUACAGUUAUGUGACAAUACAGCAGAGAAAGAUUUCAAAAAGAAAUAUUAUAAAAGAGAGUCAAUGUCAUACGUCACAGAUUAAACACCUUCUCCUGGCAAAGCAUGCUUCACUAUGCUACAUCUUAAUCCAUCCUUGUUAUUCAAUAUCAAGAGUAUUUGAAAGCAGAAUUAAAAUGUAUUACCCAUAUCUAAGAGUACCCAACCAUGUCCAAAGCUUCUCUAACAUUUCUUCUCCUUUUUAAUCCUUUGAUGCAAUUUAAAGUGCAUCAGUGAACUUCAAUUUCUGUCUGGGAAUUCAUAACAGAAUAAUAUUUUGACAUUUAUUUUUGAAAGAAGGAGCCUAAGUGUUUGUCCUGGGAGAAAUCAGCAUUUUUGCUUGCCCUAAAGUAAUCUAGUGCUUAUAAACAUUUAGCAAUGUUCAGACAUAGUAAUUUGGAGCCUGCAAAUUAUUGGUGUCAUUUGUGCCUUUUAAUACAUUCUCUCCAUCCCAAUAACAUUAUUGGAUUUUAUUUCAUUGGACUUUAAAGUAGAGAUAUCAUUGUGGGCUUGUUUAGAACAAGGCUAGCUUCAUGUUGUUAUUGCUAUAUCCUCAAUGUCAAGCCAAGUGCUGCAUAUGCAAUCAGUAGAGAAUGAAUGAAUCAAUUUUGUCCCAAGAUUCUGAGAUCCAAAAUUUACUUUUAGAGUCCUAAAAGUGAGGUAUCUUGAAUAGCCUUACAUAAAUUUUAAAAACUAUCAAAUUGAUUUUGGUAAAGAAAGAAGAAGUAAGUUCUAGGACUUACUUGAACUUUCGUAAGGAAAUUUGGAUGGUAGGUCUCUCUAAAUAAAUUUUGGAUGCACUAUAAACCAAACACCAUUUAUGGUGAUGGCUGCUCAAUAACUUUUCAGUGAAGACAGUGGUUCUGAAUAUAAUUGUAAGGGUUAUGGAAAGAGAAGAAACUUUGGAGACCGAUAGUCUGGAGUUGAAAUCCUGGAUUCACUCCUUACAAAAUCAUUUAACCUCUACUUUUUUAUCUGCAAGAUAGGCAUAAUACUAUGAUGCAGGGUUGUUAUAAUAAAUUCGGUACAAUAAUAAUGUACACAAAAGCUUAGCAAAAUAUCUGGUACUUGACGUCACUUACUAAGUAGCAAUCAUGAUGAUCCUUCUUAUAACGAUUCCUGAUAUUAGCUGCUCUAAUAAUUCAGAGAACACUCAAAUUACAUGUAACCCAAACCCUUUAAAGCUUUAUUAAGUUAAAGCUAAACUCACCUUGUGUUGUGUUAGUCAAUAUAGCAG
Long non-coding RNA from Callithrix jacchus (white-tufted-ear marmoset), 2428 nucleotides. RefSeq lists it as uncharacterized. NCBI's taxonomy places the organism in Eukaryota, Metazoa, Chordata, Mammalia, Primates, Cebidae. The record is from RefSeq and is a predicted model, not a curated record.